GACGAACGCUGGCGGCGUGCCUAAUACAUGCAAGUCGAGCGCAGGAAACUGACGGAACUCUUCGGAGGGAAGGCAGUGGAAUGAGCGGCGGACGGGUGAGUAACACGUAAGGAACCUGCCUCAAGGAUUGGGAUAACUCCGAGAAAUCGGAGCUAAUACCGGAUAGUACAACGGACCGCAUGGUCCGCUGAUGAAAGGCGCUCCGGCGUCACCUUGAGAUGGCCUUGCGGUGCAGUAGCUAGUUGGUGGGGUAACGGCCCACCAAGGCGACGAUGCAUAGCCGACCUGAGAGGGUGAUCGGCCACACUGGGACUGAGACACGGCCCAGACUCCGACGGGAGGCAGCAGUAGGGAAUCUUCCACAAUGGACGAAAGUCUGAUGGAGCAACGCCGCGUGAGUGAUGAAGGUUUUCGGAUCGUAAAACUCUGUUGUAAGGGAAGAACACGUACGAGAGGAAAUGCUCGUACCUUGACGGUACCUUACGAGAAAGCCACGGCUAACUACGUGCCAGCCGCCGCAGUAA
RNAcentral lists this ribosomal RNA (524 nucleotides) under uncultured bacterium. RNAcentral's name for it is "partial 16S ribosomal RNA". It matches the Rfam family "Bacterial small subunit ribosomal RNA", at positions 28 to 523 of the family's 1533-position model. The record is from RNAcentral.